ACUGCAUUCGGGAGAUAGGGUGAGGGGAAGGAGCCGGCCUGGUGGGUUCUCAUUUCCUCUCUGCAAAGCACACAAUGCCAGGGGGACCGGCCCCUCUUCCUUUGGGCGCUCAGCUUCCCGCUUUUGGGUUGUGUCUACACUUGGCAAAUAAAGCACCGGAUUGUGAAUCAGGGACUCUCAGCUGCCAAUGCUAACACUGCCAAAGCUAAUAACACAACAACAACAACAACAACAGAAGCAGCAGCAGCAUCAACAAAACCCAGAACACCGGUUUCUGAAACCAGCAAAGUAUUUGCAAAAUGCAAGAUUGUAAUUAAGUGAAAAGCAAAAUGCAAGAUUGUAAUUAAGUGAAAAGGUAAGAUUUGCACUGUUUUAAGCAGCUCUAAAAGAAAUGAGUCUCUUUAAGGUGGAAGCAGCUUUAAGAAGGAAGACUGAAUUGGAAGCUCCCAGGCUCCAUGCAGUUCUAGAAUGCUGUGAUUUUAUGAAUUCUAAGUCUGAGGACCCUGUGAAAAAGUCAGGAAGAACAGUCUAUGAUUUUACAGAAGUGAUGAGUUGAACAAAAAGCUAAAGGCUCCUUGUAUUUGGAAAAACAGGGACCAUUGCUAUCAUUAUUAACAAAUGUUUGCAUCACAGGGCAUUUCCUUUGUCCAGUGGUACAUGGAGACACUUGAAAUUUUUUGCAUUUUUUUUUGGAAAGGAAGAGAGAAAAAAUUAUAGCAAUUAUGGUAAGCAGUGUCCUGAAGUUCUGCCGAUCAACUGAUAUUAUGACGUUGUGGCCCAUAAUUUGGAGGUUGCCAACUCGAGACUUUAGUUAUGACCAUGACGUAAGGAUUCUAGAAACUCCUGAGAGGGCUCUUAAAUCCCUCUCUCCUUGCAGAAUCCAACACUGAAGUUGGACCAACAUUGAUUGAGUUCCUACUGUAUGUCCGGGACUGUGCCAGGAGCAAGGGGUCACAGCGCUAUGGAUUACAUAAACAUUUAUAAACGGAAAUGCUCCCCAAAGAAUAUGAUGAUGAAAAAGACUUGGCUCCUGGCUUUGAGAGGCUUCUAAGUGUGUAAACUGAUAAUUUAAAAUAUGAUGGGCUGUCUCACUGCAAAGCAAUGAUAAAAGCAUGAGGUGCUGGAUAUGCUAACUACCCUGAUUUAAUCAUUAUACAACGCAUGUAUGUAUUGAAACAUCAAACUUUACCCAUAAAAUGUAUAAUUACAAUGUGUCAAUUUAAAACAAUUUAAGAAAUAGAACGGUUUGAAAUGCUUUGCUACUGGAGCAUAGCAGGGUGAUGGAGGGGCGUCAGGGAGAUCUUCCUGGGACACCUACACUGACUCUGGGGUGUAACGGGGCUGUGUUCCUGGGCGGGCUUAGACUGUUUCUCUAAUUAUGACAGCUUUCUCCUUCUUGCUGUAGUUUUGUCUUUUCAAGAAUGUCAUAUGAAUAUUUGAUAUGAUUUGGAUGUUGUCCCCUAAAAACCUCAUGUUGAAGUGCAAUCCGCAGUGUUAAAAGUGGAGACUGGUGGGCAGUGUUUGGGUCACAGGGGCGGAUCCCUCAUGGCUUGGUGAUGUUUUUUCGAUAGUGAGUUCUCCCGAGAUCUGGUUGAAGAAAAAUGUGUGGCACCUCCCUUCUCCCUCUCUCUCUUCCUUCCACUCUUGCCAUGUAAGACACCAGCCCCCCUUUCAUCUUCUGCCAUGAUUGUAAGCUUCCUGAGGCCUCCCCAGAAGCUGAGCAGGUGCUGCCACCAUGCUUCCAAUAGCAUUGCAGAACCAUGAACC
This 1767-nucleotide long non-coding RNA is filed under the name Homo sapiens (human). RNAcentral's name for it is "HSALNT0102286". Lineage: Eukaryota; Metazoa; Chordata; Mammalia; Primates; Hominidae. The record is from RNAcentral.